UACGUAGGGUGCAAGCGUUAUCCGGAAUUAUUGGGCGUAAAGAGCUCGUAGGCGGUUUGUCGCGUCUGCUGUGAAAACUGGGGGCUCAACCCCCAGCCUGCAGUGGGUACGGGCAGACUAGAGUGCGGUAGGGGAGAUUGGAAUUCCUGGUGUAGCGGUGGAAUGCGCAGAUAUCAGGAGGAACACCGGUGGCGAAGGCGGGUCUCUGGGCCGUUACUGACGCUGAGGAGCGAAAGCGUGGGGAGCGAACAGGA
Molecule: ribosomal RNA, 254 nt
Filed under: uncultured bacterium
Lineage: Bacteria
Description: partial 16S ribosomal RNA
Rfam family: Bacterial small subunit ribosomal RNA
Source: RNAcentral